RNAcentral lists this ribosomal RNA (254 nucleotides) under uncultured bacterium. RNAcentral's name for it is "partial 16S ribosomal RNA". It matches the Rfam family "Bacterial small subunit ribosomal RNA", at positions 524 to 776 of the family's 1533-position model. The record is from RNAcentral.
CACGUAGGGGGCGAGCGUUGUCCGGAUUUAUUGGGCGUAAAGAUCUCGUAGGCGGUUCGGCAAGUCGGGUGUGAAAUUUCGAGGCUCAACCUCGAAACGCCACUCGAUACUGCUGUGACUGGAGUCCGGUAGAGGAGUGCGGAAUUCCUGGUGUAGCGGUGAAAUGCGCAGAUAUCAGGAGGAACGCCAACGGCGAAGGCAGCACUCUGGGCCGGUACUGACGCUGAGGAGCGAAAGCGUGGGGAGCAAACAGG